This is a non-coding RNA of Apis mellifera (honey bee), 129 nucleotides long. The record is from RefSeq and is marked provisional. Lineage: Eukaryota; Metazoa; Arthropoda; Insecta; Hymenoptera; Apidae.
UGGCGAAAGAUAAACAGGCCGAGUGGCACGGCCUUGUCCGCGAACGAGUGGUGGAUGCCAGCGUUUACAUUCCAUUAAACGUUGGUCUAUCGCCACUCGAACAGCAACCGUCUCAUUUGCCCUGUGCCG